This 73-nucleotide transfer RNA is filed under the name Felis catus (domestic cat). It matches the Rfam family "tRNA". From Rfam's summary of the family: Transfer RNA (tRNA) molecules are approximately 80 nucleotides in length. Their secondary structure includes four short double-helical elements and three loops (D, anti-codon, and T loops). Further hydrogen bonds mediate the characteristic L-shaped molecular structure. tRNAs have two regions of fundamental functional importance: the anti-codon, which is responsible for specific mRNA codon recognition, and the 3' end, to which the tRNAs corresponding amino acid is attached (by aminoacyl-tRNA synthetases). tRNAs cope with the degeneracy of the genetic code in two manners: having more than one tRNA (with a specific anti-codon) for a particular amino acid; and 'wobble' base-pairing, i.e. permitting non-standard base-pairing at the 3rd anti-codon position. RNAcentral also lists the same sequence under 4 other names. The record is from Rfam by way of RNAcentral. Lineage: Eukaryota; Metazoa; Chordata; Mammalia; Carnivora; Felidae.
ACCUGGCUGGUUCAGUCAGUAGAGCAUGUGACUCUUGAUCUCACAGUCAUGAGUUUGGGCCCCACGUCAGGUA